This 1735-nucleotide long non-coding RNA is filed under the name Salmo salar (Atlantic salmon). RNAcentral's name for it is "lncRNA (ENSSSAG00000108472.1)". Lineage: Eukaryota; Metazoa; Chordata; Actinopteri; Salmoniformes; Salmonidae. The record is from RNAcentral.
CUUGAUUAUCUCUAUCCAUUACAGGGGAUCUCUGCUGUUACGUGACACUUCCUACGGCUCCCAUGAGCUCUCAGAAGGCGGCAAAAAGCUGAAUCGUGGCUUUGCAGGCUCUGGCUGAAAAAAAGUAGCUCGUUUGGUAGUGGCUGGUCACAGUACUGUGAGACUCAGGCACAUGCACGAGGGGACUCCAUGUUUUAUCUUUGAACGAAAACCACCGCUCCCGGUCGGGAAUAUUAUCGCUUUUUUACGAGAAAAAUGGCAUAAAAAUUGAUUUUAAACAGCGGCUGACAUGCUUCGAAGUACGGUAAUGGAAUAUUUAGAAUUUUUUUGUCACGAAAUGCGUCAUGCGCGUGACCCUUAUUUACACUUCGGAUAGUGUCUUGAACGCACGAACAAAACGCCGCUAUUUGGAUAUAACUAUGGAUUAUUUUGGACCAAACCAACAUUUGUUAUUGAAGUAGCAGUCCUGGGAGUGCAUUCUGACGAAGAACACCAAAGGACAAUGACCCAACACACCUCCAGGCUGUGUAAGGGCUAUUUGACCAAGAAGGAGAGUGAUGGAGUGGUGCAUCAGAUGACCUGGCCUCCAACAUACCUCAACCAAAUUGAGAUGGUUUGGGAUGUGUCGGACCGCAAGUGCAUAGCAUAUGUGGGAACUCCUUCAAGACUUUUGGAAAAGCAUUCCAGGUGAAUCUGGUUGAGAGAAUGCCAAGAGUGUGCAAAGCUGUCAUCAAGGCAAAUGGUGGCUUUUGGAAGAAUCUCAAAUAUAAAAUAUAUUUGGUUUUUGGUUACUUCAUGAUUCCAUAUGUGUUAUUUCAUAGUUUUGAUGUCUUCACUAUUAUUCUACAAUGUAGAAACUAGUAAAAAUAAAGAAAAACCCUUGAAUGAGUAGGUGUUCUAAAACUUUGUAUGGACAUAAUGUAUUUACUUAUUUAUUCUCAUUUUCAAGUAUAGGUGACAAAUCAUGCAUUCCGAUUCUUGCAUAGAUUGUAACAGACACAUAUGAUGUGUGUAAAAUACUUUUUUGAUGGUUGUACUGAUUAUGAUGUGCUAAUGCUAAGCUACUUGCCGGCUAUGUGUGGCACCAUGUUUGUUGACAUCAUUCAAUGCUUUCUGGCUUUCACGUAAGCGUAUGUAAGACCAAAGAUGUUAUAACAAGGAAUAGUUCACUCGACUGACUUAUGGUGCUUUCAAGACAACUGGGAACUCAGAAAAAUAUUAGGUCAAAUCAUGACAUCAGCGAUCUUCAGGUCGGAAAGUCGGCACUCUAGAAAGAGGCCCGAGUUCCCGAGUUGAAUGCCGUUCAAAAGAUUCUUCCCAGUCAGAGCUCGUUUUUUCAGAGUUCCCAGGUGUCUUGAACGUACUGAAGUCGGAAGUCUGAGAUUUCCGAGUUCCCAGUUGUUUUGAAUGUGGCAUCAGAUUGUAACUUUGGAACCUCAGGGUUGCCAGCUCAGACCCCCAUUCCAGGGGUAUUUAUUUUUAUUUAGAGUAUAAACUUCUCCUGUGUUUGCCUCCGAUUGAUAAAUCACCCAUCAUAGUAAAAUUUCCUGCAUCAUAUCCUCACACGAUACCUUCCCCCCAUGGACUUGAAAACCCCCCACAAAUGAAAUGAUCCCCCCGCAAACCCCCCUAAAAUGGUUUCAUCCCUGUUUAGCUUUCGCGCUAUGGUUAAGCUAGGCAGUAGGCUUGUAUUUGGGGUAAUGGUAAAUGACUUGUCAAGUUAUAUGCUCCAGUU